UACAGAGGUCCCAAGCGUUGUUCGGAUUCAUUGGGCGUAAAGGGUGCGUAGGCGGCUCGGUAAGUCGGGUGUGAAAUCUCGGGGCUUAACUCCGAAACUGCAUUCGAUACUGCCGUGCUUGAGGACUGGAGAGGAGACUGGAAUUUACGGUGUAGCGGUGAAAUGCGUAGAUAUCGUAAGGAAGACCAGUGGCGAAGGCGGGUCUCUGGACAGUUCCUGACGCUGAGGCACGAAGGCCAGGGGAGCAAACGGG
RNAcentral lists this ribosomal RNA (253 nucleotides) under uncultured bacterium. RNAcentral's name for it is "partial 16S ribosomal RNA". It matches the Rfam family "Bacterial small subunit ribosomal RNA", at positions 524 to 776 of the family's 1533-position model. The record is from RNAcentral.